UAGGCUGCAACUCGCCUACAUGAAGUCGGAAUUGCUAGUAAUCGCGGAUCAGCAUGCCGCGGUGAAUACGUUCCGGGCCUUGUACACACCGCCCGCCACACCAUGGGAGUCGGUAACACCCGAAGCCUGUAGUCUAACCGCAAGGAGGACGCAGUCGAAGGUGGGAUUGAUGACUGGGGUGAAGUCGUAACAAGGUAUC
This 199-nucleotide ribosomal RNA is filed under the name uncultured bacterium. Its description in RNAcentral is "partial 16S ribosomal RNA". It matches the Rfam family "Bacterial small subunit ribosomal RNA", at positions 1301 to 1500 of the family's 1533-position model. The record is from RNAcentral.